UUGUUAAGUAAAGCAAAUCGUGCAUAUUGCAGAGUAACAAAGCAAAUAAGCACGUUUUAAUAAUUGGUAUUUCAAUAUUGUAUUUAUCUGUGAAAUAUAUGCAUUAAAAACGAACAAGAAUUAAUGACAAUUGAUCGGAACUGAAAUACACAUAGUUAAUUUUCCGGCAUUUGAUUCUUAUCCUGGACGAGAAAACUCUGUAAUUCUUUAUCUCAUUGAAGCCAAUAGCUGUUGUUGUAUCUCA
RNAcentral lists this long non-coding RNA (244 nucleotides) under Mytilus galloprovincialis (Mediterranean mussel). The record is from RNAcentral. Lineage: Eukaryota; Metazoa; Mollusca; Bivalvia; Mytilida; Mytilidae.